This is a long non-coding RNA of Bombyx mori (domestic silkworm), 384 nucleotides long. RefSeq lists it as uncharacterized. The transcript is spliced from 2 exons. The record is from RefSeq and is a predicted model, not a curated record. NCBI's taxonomy places the organism in Eukaryota, Metazoa, Arthropoda, Insecta, Lepidoptera, Bombycidae.
UCAAAACGCGUACAAAUAUUCGCGACGUGCAACACGUUGGGAAUAUCUACAAAUAUAUUUUGAAACGUGUCUAGUUUGUUCUCCAUCUCCGCUGGGUGCCCUAUCGAUCAAUGAAGAGACCGACUCAGAAGAAGAAAUAUCAACACUUCGCUAAAAUCUUCAGUACAAGUUAUCACUGUGUCCACAAGUUCAGCUCUGCAACGAUUUAACUGUGCCUGCAGUAUGUGGUAUUUUUUUACUCUUUUUACUUUUUAUAAUUAAUUUACUCUACACUGCCUUUGGUCGACUAGUAGAGAAUGCUUUAGGCAUAAUUAUUAUUAAUAUUAACUCCGCCAAUGUAAAUGUUUACAUGAAAUGUACUAAAUAAAUAAAUUUUCACAAGAA